GCACCAAUUCCAUGAACAAGUACCUCAAAAUAAGAGAACAAAAUAAAAAAAAAACUAUGAUUUGGACCCUUGCAGCAAUGCUUAAGUGUCCAUGCUUUGUGUUUUUUUAAAUUAUGUCCAACACAUUACUAAUAUCCGUGACACAUUUUUUCUGGAUUUUAAACGUUAAAGAAUCCUAAAAUAUAUCGUGCACCAGUUCUAUGGCAACCACCUCAAAAUAGGAGAAAAAAAUAAUAAAAAAAAUGAUUUAGACCCUUGCAACAAUAUUUAAGUGUCAAUGUUCUGCAAUUUUUUUAAAUUAUGUCGAACGCAUUACUAAUAUCUGUGACAUAUUUUUUCC
This 340-nucleotide long non-coding RNA is filed under the name Glycine max (soybean). Its description in RNAcentral is "long non-coding RNA (GMAX_LNC000177)". The record is from RNAcentral. Lineage: Eukaryota; Viridiplantae; Streptophyta; Magnoliopsida; Fabales; Fabaceae.